AGGGGGGUGGGGAGAUCAGCUCAUAGCGUAUAUUAAGUUGUUGUGGUUAAAAAGCUCGUAGUUGAACCUUGGGCCUGGCUGGCCGGUCCGCCUCACCGCGUGCACUGGUCCGGCCGGGCCUUUCCCUCUGUGGAACCCCAUGCCCUUCACUGGGCGUGGCGGGGAAACAGGACUUUUACUUUGAAAAAAUUAGAGUGUUUAAAGCAGGC
This 209-nucleotide ribosomal RNA is filed under the name Glomeromycota sp. RNAcentral's name for it is "partial small subunit ribosomal RNA". The stretch from base 35 to 209 matches the Rfam family "Eukaryotic small subunit ribosomal RNA", at positions 607 to 785 of the family's 1831-position model. Lineage: Eukaryota; Fungi; Glomeromycota. The record is from RNAcentral.